RNAcentral lists this ribosomal RNA (433 nucleotides) under uncultured bacterium. RNAcentral describes it as "partial 16S ribosomal RNA". It matches the Rfam family "Bacterial small subunit ribosomal RNA", at positions 29 to 507 of the family's 1533-position model. The record is from RNAcentral.
AACGAACGCUGGCGGCAUGCCUAACACAUGCAAGUCGAACGAGACCUUCGGGUCUAGUGGCGCACGGGUGCGUAACGCGUGGGAACCUGCCCUUAUGUUCGGAAUAACUCCCCGAAAGGGGUGCUAAUACCGGAUAAUGUCUUCGGACCAAAGAUUUAUCGCCUUUGGAUGGGCCCGCGUUGGAUUAGCUAGUUGGUAGGGUAAAAGCCUACCAAGGCGACGAUCCAUAGCUGGUCUGAGAGGAUGAUCAGCCACACUGGGACUGAGACACGGCCCAGACUCCUACGGGAAGCAGCAGUGGGGAAUAUUGGACAAUGGGCGAAAGCCUGAUCCAGCAAUGCCGCGUGAGUGAUGAAGGCCUUAGGGUUGUAAAGCUCUUUUACCCGGGAUGAUAAUGACAGUACCGGGAGAAUAAGCUCCGGCUAACUCCGUG